RNAcentral lists this ribosomal RNA (462 nucleotides) under uncultured bacterium. RNAcentral describes it as "partial 16S ribosomal RNA". It matches the Rfam family "Bacterial small subunit ribosomal RNA", at positions 28 to 507 of the family's 1533-position model. The record is from RNAcentral.
GACGAACGCUGGCGGCGUGCUUAACACAUGCAAGUCGAACGGAAAGGCCCUUCGGGGUACUCGAGUGGCGAACGGGUGAGUAACACGUGGGUGAUCUGCCCUGCACUUUGGGAUAAGCCUGGGAAACUGGGUCUAAUACCGAAUAGGACCACGCGCUUCAUGGUGUGUGGUGGAAAGCUUUUGCGGUGUGGGAUGGGCCCGCGGCCUAUCAGCUUGUUGGUGGGGUAAUGGCCUACCAAGGCGACGACGGGUAGCCGGCCUGAGAGGGUGACCGGCCACACUGGGACUGAGAUACGGCCCAGACUCCUACGGGAGGCAGCAGUGGGGAAUAUUGCACAAUGGGCGCAAGCCUGAUGCAGCGACGCCGCGUGAGGGAUGACGGCCUUCGGGUUGUAAACCUCUUUCAAUAGGGACGAAGCGCUAGUGACGGUACCUAUAGAAGAAGCACCGGCCAACUACGUG